This 410-nucleotide unclassified non-coding RNA is filed under the name Hevea brasiliensis (rubber tree). The record is from RNAcentral. Lineage: Eukaryota; Viridiplantae; Streptophyta; Magnoliopsida; Malpighiales; Euphorbiaceae.
AAGCAAUGAAAAUCAUGAUUUUGCUGGUCUUCAAGAAUGGGAUCCAAGAGCUAUGCUUAAAAGUAUGUCUUUUCUUGAACAAAAGAUUCAUCAACUCCGGGAGCUGGUGCGUAUAAUUGUUGACCAUAGAAGUCUAGCUGGGAUUCAGGGAAGUGACCUUUCAAUUCAGCAACAACAGCUUAUAACAGCUGAUCUUACCUCUAUUAUUAUUCAAUUGAUAUCAACUGCAGGGAGUCUUCUUCCAACCGUGAAGCAUCAAGCGAAUCCACCUACCAAGCGACUCGAGCAGUUUGGUGGUGCUUCCGUUCCUUCUGAAACAGGUACUAAUAUUGGUGCUCUGACAUGUAAUGGUUAUGUGCCCAAGGCAAAAGAUCAGCUCAGCCAUGUUGAUCAAAUGGGAGAUUGUUUGU